GGUGGGUUGAACCUGAUUUUGUGGCAUGCCAAACCUCGCACUUUAAUGGCAAUGUUAAAUAUAACAUAGAAAUGACAACAUAAUAUUACAGGACUACAAUACAAAUAAAUAGGAAAACGUAUUAGACAAAGAAACACAUGAUUAAUGAAUAACAAAAAGCAUCAGGUUUAAAAUUGAAUACGCCAAAAACGCGCCUCGUCCACAC
RNAcentral lists this long non-coding RNA (205 nucleotides) under Mytilus galloprovincialis (Mediterranean mussel). The record is from RNAcentral. Lineage: Eukaryota; Metazoa; Mollusca; Bivalvia; Mytilida; Mytilidae.